RNAcentral lists this ribosomal RNA (438 nucleotides) under uncultured Alphaproteobacteria bacterium. RNAcentral's name for it is "bacterial SSU rRNA". It matches the Rfam family "Bacterial small subunit ribosomal RNA", at positions 97 to 570 of the family's 1533-position model. Lineage: Bacteria; Pseudomonadati; Pseudomonadota; Alphaproteobacteria. The record is from RNAcentral.
GGCGCACGGGUGAGUAACGCGUGGGAACCUACCUUUUAGUACGGGACAACGUUUGGAAACGAACGCUAAUACCGUAUACGCCCUCCGGGGGAAAGGUCAGCCGCUGAAAGAGGGGCCCGCGUCUGAUUAGCUUGUUGGUAAGGUAACGGCUUACCAAGGCUACGAUCAGUAGCUGGUCUGAGAGGAUGAUCAGCCACACUGGGACUGAGACACGGCCCAGACUCCUACGGGAGGCAGCAGUGGGGAAUAUUGGACAAUGGGGGCAACUCUGAUCCAGCAAUGCCGCGUGUGUGAUGAAGGCCCUAGGGUUGUAAAGCACUUUCAACGGUGAAGAUGAUGACGGUAGCCGUAGAAGAAGCCCCGGCUAACUUCGUGCCAGCAGCCGCGGUAAUACGAAGGGGGCGAGCGUUAUUCGGAAUUAUUGGGCGUAAAGGGCUC